CCAGGGAGCCCUGGGAUGGUAGAGA
Molecule: non-coding RNA, 25 nt
Filed under: Cricetulus griseus (Chinese hamster)
Lineage: Eukaryota; Metazoa; Chordata; Mammalia; Rodentia; Cricetidae
Source: RNAcentral